Molecule: ribosomal RNA, 422 nt
Filed under: uncultured bacterium
Lineage: Bacteria
Description: partial 16S ribosomal RNA
Rfam family: Bacterial small subunit ribosomal RNA
Source: RNAcentral
AUUUUGGACAAUGGGGGAAACCCUGAUCCAGCCAUCCCGCGUGUGCGAUGAAGGCCUUCGGGUUGUAAAGCACUUUUGGCAGGGAAGAAAAGGCUCUGGUUAAUACCUGGAGCUGCUGACGGUACCUGCAGAAUAAGCACCGGCUAACUACUUUCCAUCAGCCGCGGUAAUACGUAGGGGCCGAGCGUUGUCCGGAGUUACUGGGCGUAAAGCGUGUGUUGGCGGUUCGGAAAGAAAGAUGUGAAAUCCCAGGGCUCAACCUUGGAACUGCAUUUUUAACUGCCGAGCUAGAGUAUGUCAGAGGGGGGUAGAAUUCCACGUGUAGCAGUGAAAUGCGUAGAUAUGUGGAGGAAUACCGAUGGCGAAGGCAGCCCCCUGGGAUAAUACUGACGCUGAGGCGCGAAAGCGUGGGGAGCAAACAG